Molecule: ribosomal RNA, 275 nt
Filed under: uncultured fungus
Lineage: Eukaryota; Fungi
Description: partial 18S ribosomal RNA
Rfam family: Eukaryotic small subunit ribosomal RNA (bases 1-70)
Source: RNAcentral
UUCUUGGUCAUUUAGAGGAAGUAAAAGUCGUAACAAGGUCUCCGUUGGUGAACCAGCGGAGGGAUCAUUACCGAGUACUAUAACUCAUAACCCUUUGUGAACCUUCAUACCUGUUGCUUCGGCGGCGCGCCUCCCGGGGCGUGCCCGCCGGCAUUAUCAGAAUCUCUGUUUUCGAACCCGACGAUACUUCUGAGUGUUCUUAGCGAACUGUUAAAACUUUCAACAACGGAUCUCUUGGCUCCAGCAUCGAUGAAGAACGCAGCCCCCCCGUGCCC